UCAGGUCAGCAUCAUGUGGCUCAUCUCAUGUUCAGGCAGAAGUCUGACCACAGCUGCUCUGCUUAGCUGCCCAUGGUACGUACACACAAGGUAUGAACAAGCACACACAGGAUUAGACCUUCUCACACCCGACUGGCUCCAUCUUUAAUUCCUCAGUCUGAACUUUCUAGUUGGUGUUUGGAUGUAACAGCUGGGAAUAUCAAGAAAACAGAACUUUUUAUUUAUUUAUUUAUUCGAAACGAUCUUUGCGCAACUUAUGUCUGUUUUCUUAAAGUUUUUUUACUUUUAGUUUAGUUCACGUCAGGACAAAUGAUUUAGCUAAAAUAUCCGUGGCGAAAAACAAAAAUAACAAAGGAUUAUUCAAUUUAAGUCAUUAAAAUGAUGUUGCUCAAAUAAAAUGCAUCACAAAAUGUUAAAAGUAAAGUGAAAAUCUUUUAAAAAAAAAAGAAAAAAAAAAGUC
This is a long non-coding RNA of Oryzias melastigma (Indian medaka), 460 nucleotides long. RefSeq lists it as uncharacterized. The record is from RefSeq and is a predicted model, not a curated record. The transcript has 2 exons. Lineage: Eukaryota; Metazoa; Chordata; Actinopteri; Beloniformes; Adrianichthyidae.